AGCAGCCGCGGUAAUUCCAGCUCCAAUAGCGUAUAUUAAAGUUGUUGCAGUUAAAAAGCUCGUAGUUGAAUUUCGGGACCAAUCUGCCGGUCGUGCCUCCGGUACGCACUGGUUUUAUUGGUUUCUCCCUUCUGACGAACCAUGAUGUCAUUAAUUUGGUGUCAUGGGGAAUCAGGACUGUUACUUUGAAAAAAUUAGAGUGUUUAUAGCAGGCUCACGCUUGAAUACAUUAGCAUGGAAUAAUGAAAUAGGACGUUUGACCCUAUUUUGUUGGUUUCUAGGAUCGACGUAAUGAUUAAUAGGGAUAGUUGGGGGCAUUAGUAUUCAAUUGUCAGAGGUGAAAUUCUUGGAUUUAUUGAAGACUAACUACUGCGAAAGCAUUUGCCAAGGAUGUUUUCAUUAAUCAAGAACGAAAGUUAGGGGAUCGAAGACGAUCAGAUACCGUCGUAGUCUUAACCAUAAACUAUGCCGACUAGGGAUCGGAUGAUGUUAAAUUUUUUAAUG
This 504-nucleotide ribosomal RNA is filed under the name uncultured Glomus. Its description in RNAcentral is "SSU rRNA". It matches the Rfam family "Eukaryotic small subunit ribosomal RNA", at positions 569 to 1076 of the family's 1831-position model. Lineage: Eukaryota; Fungi; Glomeromycota; Glomeromycetes; Glomerales; Glomeraceae. The record is from RNAcentral.